Molecule: ribosomal RNA, 305 nt
Filed under: uncultured bacterium
Lineage: Bacteria
Description: bacterial SSU rRNA
Rfam family: Bacterial small subunit ribosomal RNA
Source: RNAcentral
CACCUACGGGGCGCAGCAGUCGGGAAUAUUGCGCAAUGGAGGAAACUCUGACGCAGUGACGCCGCGUAUAGGAAGAAGGUUUUGGGAUUGUAAACUAUUGUCGUUAGGGAAGAUAAAAGACUGUACCUAAGGAGGAAGCCCCGGCUAACUAUGUGCCAGCAGCCGCGGUAAUACGUAGGGGGCUAGCGUUAUCCGGAAUUACUGGGCGUAAAGGGUGCGUAGGUGGUUUCUUAAGUCAGAGGUGAAAGGCUACGGCUCAACCGUAGUAAGCCUUUGAAACUGGGAAACUUGAGUGCAGGAGAGGA